This 22-nucleotide unclassified non-coding RNA is filed under the name Dictyostelium discoideum. Lineage: Eukaryota; Evosea; Eumycetozoa; Dictyosteliales; Dictyosteliaceae. The record is from RNAcentral.
UUUCCUUUCUUGAGUGUGGCAA